UACGAAGGGGGCAAGCGUUGUUCGGAAUUACUGGGCGUAAAGGGCGCGUAGGCGGCCGAUCAAGUCAGGCGUGAAAUUCCCGGGCUCAACCUGGGGGCUGCGCUUGAUACUGACUGGCUUGAAUGCGGGAGAGGAUAGUGGAAUUCCCAGUGUAGAGGUGAAAUUCGUAGAUAUUGGGAAGAACACCGGUGGCGAAGGCGGCUAUCUGGCCCGUAAUUGACGCUGAGGCGCGAAAGCGUGGGGAGCAAACAGG
Molecule: ribosomal RNA, 253 nt
Filed under: uncultured bacterium
Lineage: Bacteria
Description: partial 16S ribosomal RNA
Rfam family: Bacterial small subunit ribosomal RNA
Source: RNAcentral